AGUGAACGCUGGCGAUAGGCCUAACACAUGCAAGUCGAACGGCAGCACAGUAAGAGCUUGCUCUUACGGGUGGCGAGUGGCGGACGGGUGAGGAAUACAUCGGAAUCUACUUUUUCGUGGGGGAUAACGUAGGGAAACUUACGCUAAUACCGCAUACGACCUACGGGUGAAAGCAGGGGAUCUUCGGACCUUGCGCGAUUGAAUGAGCCGAUGUCGGAUUAGCUAGUUGGCGGGGUAAAGGCCCACCAAGGCGACGAUCCGUAGCUGGUCUGAGAGGAUGAUCAGCCACACUGGAACUGAGACACGGUCCAGACUCCUACGGGAGGCAGCAGUGGGGAAUAUUGGACAAUGGGCGCAAGCCUGAUCCAGCCAUACCGCGUGGGUGAAGAAGGCCUUCGGGUUGUAAAGCCCUUUUGUUGGGAAAGAAAAGCAGCAGGUUAAUACCCCGCUGUUCUGACGGUACCCGAAGAAUAAGCACCGGCUAACUUCGUG
Molecule: ribosomal RNA, 492 nt
Filed under: uncultured bacterium
Lineage: Bacteria
Description: partial 16S ribosomal RNA
Rfam family: Bacterial small subunit ribosomal RNA
Source: RNAcentral